Molecule: ribosomal RNA, 568 nt
Filed under: uncultured archaeon
Lineage: Archaea
Description: bacterial SSU rRNA
Rfam family: Archaeal small subunit ribosomal RNA
Source: RNAcentral
CGGGGUGCAGCAGGCGCGAAAACUCUACAAUGCAGGCAACUGCGAUAGGGGAACAUCGAGUGAUCCUCAUAUUGGGGGUCUGUCCCACCGUCUAAAAAACGGUGGUUAGCAAGGGCCGGGCAAGACCGGUGCCAGCCGCCGCGGUAAUACCGGCGGCUCGAGUGGUGGCCGAUAUUAUUGAGUCUAAAGGGUCCGUAGCCGGCUUUGCAAGUCUCUCGGGAAAUCCAGCGGCUUAACCGUUGGUCGUCCGGGGGGUACUACAUUGCUUGGGACUGGGAGAGGUAGGAGGUACUCAGGGGGUAGGAGUGAAAUCCUGUAAUCCUCUGGGGACCACCGGUGGCGAAGGCGUCCUACCAGAACAGGUCCGACGGUGAGGGACGAAAGCUAGGGGCACGAACCGGAUUAGAUACCCGGGUAGUCCUAGCCGUAAACGAUGCUCGCUAGGUGUCACAACAGUCGUGAACUGUUGUGGUGCCGUAGGGAAGCCGUGAAGCGAGCCACUUGGGAAGUACGACCGCAAGGUUGAAACUUAAAGGAAUUGGCGGGGGAGCACAAGGGCGAAUUCGCG